CCUACGGGAGGCAGCAGUGAGGAAUAUUGGUCAAUGGGCGCGAGCCUGAACCAGCCAAGUAGCGUGAAGGAUGACUGCCCUACGGGUUGUAAACUUCUUUUAUAACGUAAUAAGGUGAGGCAGUUGUGCCUUUUUUUAUGUACUUUAUGAAUAAGAAUCGGCUAAUUCCGUGCCAGCAGCCGCGGAAAUACGGAGGAUCCGGGCGUUAUCCGGAUUUAUUGGGUUUAAAGGGAGCGUAGAUGGGUUGUUAAGUCAGUUGUGAAAGUUUUCGGCUCAACCGUAAAAUUGCAAUUGAUACUGGCAGUCUUGAGUACAGUUGAGGUAGGCGGAAUUCGUGGUGUAGCGGUGAAAUGCUUAGAUAUCACGAAGAACUCCGAUUGCGAAGGCAGCUUACCAAGCUACUUCUGACGUUGAGGCACGAAAGCGUGGGGAGCAAACAGGAUUAGAUACCCUUGUAGUC
RNAcentral lists this ribosomal RNA (460 nucleotides) under uncultured bacterium. RNAcentral describes it as "partial 16S ribosomal RNA". It matches the Rfam family "Bacterial small subunit ribosomal RNA", at positions 338 to 795 of the family's 1533-position model. The record is from RNAcentral.